This 206-nucleotide ribosomal RNA is filed under the name uncultured bacterium. RNAcentral describes it as "partial 16S ribosomal RNA". It matches the Rfam family "Bacterial small subunit ribosomal RNA", at positions 568 to 774 of the family's 1533-position model. The record is from RNAcentral.
UGCGUAGGCGGUUUAUUAAGUCAGAUGUGAAAGCCCCGGGCUUAACCUGGGAACUGCAUUUGAUACUGGUAGACUAGAGUAUGGUAGAGGGGGUAGAAUUCCUAGUGUAGCGGUGAAAUGCGUAGAUAUUAGGAGGAAUGCCAGUGGCGAAGGCGGCCCCCUGGACCAAUACUGACGCUGAGGUACGAAAGCGUGGGUAGCGAACA